Non-coding RNA from Thermosipho melanesiensis BI429, 73 nucleotides. Lineage: Bacteria; Thermotogati; Thermotogota; Thermotogae; Thermotogales; Fervidobacteriaceae. The record is from Rfam.
GGGCCGUUAGCUCAACAGGUAGAGCACCUGACUCUUAAUCAGGGGGCUGUGGGUUCGAGUCCCACACGGCCCA